This 1447-nucleotide ribosomal RNA is filed under the name uncultured Bordetella sp. Its description in RNAcentral is "partial 16S-23S ribosomal RNA intergenic spacer". It matches the Rfam family "Bacterial small subunit ribosomal RNA". Lineage: Bacteria; Pseudomonadati; Pseudomonadota; Betaproteobacteria; Burkholderiales; Alcaligenaceae. The record is from RNAcentral.
CGAUCAUGGCUCAGAUUGAACGCUGGCGGGAUACUUUACAUGAAUUCAGACGGCAGCACGGACUUCGGUCUGGUGGCAGUGGCGAACAGGUGAGGUAAUGUAUCGGAACGUGCCUAAUGGCGGGGAUAACUACGCCAGCGUAGCCUAGCCAUACGCCCUUCGGGGGAAAGCGGGGACCUUCGGGCCUCGCACUGACUGAAACGGCCGAUAUCGGAUUAGCUAGUUGGUGGGGUAACGGCUCACCAAGGCGACGAUCGUAGCUGGUUUGAGAGGACGACCAGCCACUGGGACUGAGACACGGCCCAGACUCCUGCGGGAGGCAGCAGUGGGAAUUUUGGACAAUGGGGAAACCUGAUCCAGCCAUCCCGCGUGUGCGAUGAAGGCCUUCGGGUUGUAAAGCACUUUUGGCAGGAAAGAAACGGCACCGGGAUAAUACCCCGUGCAACUGACACCUGCAGAAUAAGCACCGGCCCCAACUACGUGCCAGCAGCCGCGAUAAUACGUAGGGUGCAAGCGUUAAUCGGAAUUACUGGGCGUAAAGCGUGCGCAGGCGGUUCGGAAAAGAUGUGAGGCAGAGCUUAACUUUGGAACUGCAUUUUUAACUACCGAGCUAGAGUGUGUCAGAGGGAGGUGGAAUUCCGCGUGUAGCGGUGAAAUGCGUAGAUAUGCGGAGGAACACCGAUGGCGAAGGCAGCCUCCUGGGAUAACACUGACUGCUCGUGCACAAAAGCGUGGGAGCAAACGGGAUUAGAUACCCUGGUAGUCCACGCCCUAAACGAUGUCAACUAGCUGUUGGGGCCUUCGGGCCAUGGUAGCUGGCUAACAACGUGAAGUUGACCGCCUGGGGAGUACGGUCGCAAGAUUAAAACUCAAAGGAAUUGACGGGGACCGCACAAGCGGUGGAUGAUGUGGAUUAAUUCGAUGCAACGCGAAAAACACCUACCCUUGACAUGUCUGGAAUCCCGAAGAGAUUUGGAGUGCUCGCAAGAGAACCGGAACACAGGUGCUGCAUGGCUGUCGUCAGCUCGUGUCGUGAGAUGUUGGGUUAGAGAUCCCGCAACGAGCGCAACCCUUGUCAUUAGUUGCUACGAAAGGGCACUCUAAUGAGACUGCCGGUGACAAACCGGAGGAAGGUGGGGAUGACGUCAGAGUCCUCAUGGCCCUUAUGGGGUAGGGCUUCACCCGUACUACAAUGGUCAAGGACAGAGAUAGCAGCGCGAAGGGGGCAAUCCCGAAACCCGAUCGUAGUCAGAUGCAGUCUGCAACUCGACUGCGUGAAGUCGGAAUCCGCUAGUAAUCGCGGAUCAGCAUGUCGCGGUGAAUACGUUCGGGUCUUGUACACACCCGCCCGUCACACCAUGGGAGUGGGUUUAGUAGUUAGCCUAACCGUAAGGAGGCGAUUACCACGGUAGGAUUCAUGACUGGGAGUGAAGUCGUAACAAGGUAA